UACGGAGGGUGCGAGCGUUGUUCGGAAUCACUGGGCGUAAAGCGCGUGUAGGCGGCCCUUUAAGUCCGAUGUGAAAGCCCGGGGCUCACCCCCGGAAGUGCAUUGGAUACUGAAGGGCUGGAGUACCGGAGAGGAGGGUGGAAUUCCUGGUGUAGCGGUGAAAUGCGCAGAUAUCAGGAGGAACACCAAUGGCGAAGGCAGCUCGCUGGGACGGUACUGACGCUGAGACGCGAAAGCGUGGGGAGCGAACAGG
This 253-nucleotide ribosomal RNA is filed under the name uncultured bacterium. Its description in RNAcentral is "partial 16S ribosomal RNA". It matches the Rfam family "Bacterial small subunit ribosomal RNA", at positions 524 to 776 of the family's 1533-position model. The record is from RNAcentral.